Molecule: ribosomal RNA, 578 nt
Filed under: Bacillus subtilis
Lineage: Bacteria; Bacillati; Bacillota; Bacilli; Caryophanales; Bacillaceae
Description: bacterial SSU rRNA
Rfam family: Bacterial small subunit ribosomal RNA
Source: RNAcentral
GAUGUUAGCGGCGGAGGGGUGAGUAACACGUGGGUAACCUGCCUGUAAGACUGGGAUAACUCCGGGAAACCGGGGCUAAUACCGGAUGGUUGUUUGAACCGCAUGGUUCAGACAUAAAAGGUGGCUUCGGCUACCACUUACAGAUGGACCCGCGGCGCACUAGCUAGUUGGUGAGGUAACGGCUCACCAAGGCGACGAUGCGUAGCCGACCUGAGAGGGUGAUCGGCCACACUGGGACUGAGACACGGCCCAGACUCCUACGGGAGGCAGCAGUAGGGAAUCUUCCGCAAUGGACGAAAGUCUGACGGAGCAACGCCGCGUGAGUGAUGAAGGUUUUCGGAUCGUAAAGCUCUGUUGUUAGGGAAGAACAAGUGCCGUUCAAAUAGGGCGGCACCUUGACGGUACCUAACCAGAAAGCCACGGCUAACUACGUGCCAGCAGCCGCGGUAAUACGUAGGUGGCAAGCGUUGUCCGGAAUUAUUGGGCGUAAAGGGCUCGCACGCGGUUUCUUAAGUCUGAUGUGAAAGCCCCCGGCUCAACCGGGGAGGGUCAUUGGAAACUGGGGAACUUGAGUGCAG